This 232-nucleotide ribosomal RNA is filed under the name uncultured Pseudomonas sp. RNAcentral describes it as "partial 16S ribosomal RNA". It matches the Rfam family "Bacterial small subunit ribosomal RNA", at positions 355 to 579 of the family's 1533-position model. Lineage: Bacteria; Pseudomonadati; Pseudomonadota; Gammaproteobacteria; Pseudomonadales; Pseudomonadaceae. The record is from RNAcentral.
UGGGGAAUAUUGGACAAUGGGCGAAAGCCUGAUCCAGCCAUGCUGCGUGUGUGAAGAAGGACUUCGGAAUGUAAAGCACUUUAAGUUGGGAGGAAGGGCUGUUACCUAAUACGUAAUUGUUUUGACGUUACCGACAGAUUAAGCACCGGCUAACUCUGUGCCAGCAGCCGCGGUAAUACAGAGGGUGCAAGCGUUAAUCGGAAUUACUGGGCGUAAAGCGCGCGUAGGUGGU